UCAAAAACAUGGCUUUUUGAUAAUAAUUUAAAGUCAGGCCUGCCCACUGAUGAUUAAAGGGCCGCGGUAAUUUGACCGUGCUAAGGUAGCAUAAUCAUUAGUUUCUUAAUUAGAAGCUAGAAUGAAUGGUUUAAUGAAAAAAUAACUGUCUCUAUUUAAAUUUAUUAGAAUUUUAUUUUUAAGUUAAAAAGCUUAAAUAAUUUUAAAAGACGAGAAGACCCUAUAGAGUUUAAUAUUUUAUUAAUAUUUUUAUAUUGGAAUAUAGGGUAUUUUAUUAAGAAAAAUAUUUGGUUGGGGUGAUUAAAAAAUUGAAUAAACUUUUUUUAUUUAAAAUCAUUAAUUUAUGAUUAAUUGAUCCAUUAUUAGUGAUUAUAAGGAAAAAUUACCUUAGGGAUAACAGCGUAAUUAUUUUUGAGAGUUCUUAUCGAAAAAAUAGAUUGCGACCUCGAUGUUGGAUUAAAAUUAAUUUUUGGUGUAGCCGCUAAAAAAUUAGGUCUGUUCGACCUUUAAAAUUUUACAUGAUCUGA
This 527-nucleotide ribosomal RNA is filed under the name Spermophagus drak. RNAcentral describes it as "partial 16S ribosomal RNA". It matches the Rfam family "Bacterial large subunit ribosomal RNA", at positions 1807 to 2608 of the family's 2925-position model. Lineage: Eukaryota; Metazoa; Arthropoda; Insecta; Coleoptera; Chrysomelidae. The record is from RNAcentral.